This is a non-coding RNA of Rhamnusium bicolor, 75 nucleotides long. The record is from the annotation of a GenBank genome assembly. NCBI's taxonomy places the organism in Eukaryota, Metazoa, Arthropoda, Insecta, Coleoptera, Cerambycidae.
GGCUUCGUGGCCGAGUGGUAAGGACACUGGCCUGUCAUCCUGGAGUCCCGGGUUCGAUGCCUGGUCGAGGAGCUA